AAAAAAAAAAAAUGUACAUAAUCAUACCUUCCCUCUCUGCCUCACAGGGUGCCUAUGAGGACAAAAAAGGUGGUAUAUGUGAAAGUGCUUCAUAACUGAGCUGGUAAUCCAUAGAUGUCUGGUAUUAGCAAUGUUUUCUAAUAAAAUAAUAAGAGUAAUACUCGUUAUAACCUCUUUGCUUUGACAGUGCCUUUCAUUGCAGCCAUUCAGUAAUUUUGCAGCUUAUUAUCACCUGUAUAACACCCCUGUUGCUACCAUGUCUAAAGGUGCACAAGCAGCCAGCCAGUGAGGGAAGGGGAAGGUCUUUCUUCUCAGCAUGUCUUUAGAGCAGUGAUUCUCUAAGUUGUAGCACACUGGAAUCCCCUGGGGAGCUUCACACAUGCAGGUGUCUAGGUCCCACCCUGGCCAAUUAAAAUUUAAUCUGGUGGGGAGGAACUGGGCACCAGUAUUUUUUUAAAGUUUCCCAAGUGAUUCUAAUAUGCAGCCAAGGUUGGCAACCACUGCUCUUUGGACUAUUUGUACAUCUCAGUGGCUGCUGAAAGUGAUCACAGUUUUAAAAGAACACAGCUUGUGGUUCUGGAAAAAUCCAUCUGCUUUUUCCAGAAAUGUAGUACGUAAGUCAAAUAGGUCUGAGGUCACUUGGGAGAGAAAUCCAAGAGUUGGACUGAGAGCUCAAACCACAAAGAUUCUAAAUGCCACCAUCACUUAGAUAGCUGCCCUUUUUCCUGAACUGCCACUGUUGACAGAUAAGAUGGUGCACACAGCGAGAAUCUGAGCAGCACAGAGCCCCCCAUCCCCAUCACUGUUCCUCCACUAAGCUCCCCUUGAAAACAUUCCACAGGACUUCCUAUUCACGGUGAUUAGAAAAGUGAAUACCUCCUAUUUUAAAAGAAAAAAAUCUCAGAGGAUAAGCACGUAGCCGACGAGUGGCCAAUUCUGUAAUUUUCCCCAUGGAUAAUAAGGAAAUAAUCAUACAUUAUUUAAUAAUGUAUUUUUCCAUUGAAUUCCAAUGUGUCUACAAAUUAUACAUGUUUUAUAUGAUGUUUCACUUUAGGGUUAAGCCAAAUAAGCAUACAUUUAUUUUAUAAAUAUAAAUAUAUUAUCUAUUAAAAUAGUUUCUAGUAAAAACAUAGGUUUAGCUAUUUGACUCAAAUUUCUUAAAGAAGCCAUAGUUAGAAGAAAAUAUCCACUAGAGUAUACUAGACUUUAUGUCUUCGCAGGAGAAGUAACACUUCCUCAUCUGUUUACCUCUCAACUCCCUUCUCCAACUAGAAAUGAAGACACAAGAUAAUAAAAGGAUUUGACUUUUCAGUAUCCCUUUCGAACUGGGCACCACCCAGAAGAAAGAUUCUGUUAACUACUCCCUUUAGAAAUUAUCUCAAGGAACCCCUCCCUGGUCAUCGUCUCUGGAUGGAGUCACACAGCCUCUGCUUCGGCAUCUGUCUUGUAUGCUGCCUUACAAACCUUACAGCUGCCCUCACGCUUUGCACCUGUGAAUGUGGACUCUCCUUCUUCGGGUGCCUUGCUCUGCAUGGUUCAGUGCCUUCGCUGUGCUCUUCUACCUGAAAUCUCCUGCCUCUACUUGUCUACCAGGAAAACCCUAACCGACCACCAAGCCUCAGCUCAAAUGCUGUGUCCUAUGGAAGUUCCUCUAGGCAGAUUUAGUGGCUGCUUCUGCUGGACCUCCCAUAGACACACACACACCUUUGUCCACACAUCCAUUAUAACCACUAUCUUUUCUCAUUGCAUAUGCUUAUUAUGUUCAAAUUCAUCUCCCCACUAGACUAAGUCCCUUGAGGCCAGGAAUGAUGUCUUACCUUUGCAUUCUCAGCAGCUAGUCUAUUGCCCAGUAAUAAAGUAUUACUUAAUGAAUACAUCAAAUGAAUGUAUGAAUAAAUGAUACCUAAACAAAGUUCUACAGGAGCCUAGAAAUGGGAGCUAUAACCGGUGACUGGCCACACUGAAGAAGCAGCAUUUGACCUUGUAUUGAAGAACAAGUUUGAUUUUGCUUGGCAGAAAAAAAAAAAGGAGAGGACUAUAAGCAGAAGAAUAACAAGAACAAAGGCAUAGGAGUGGGCAAAUCCGUGGUCUUCUCAGAGAGCACCUCAUGUUACAGGUCCAGUGGAAGACAGACAUGAAAGAGGAAGUUUGGACCAGAAUAAUGUAUGUGCUAAGGAGCUGUGGGCCUUAUUCUGGACAUAAUAAAGAACCAUGAAAAAAUUUUGAAUAGGGAAAAGUCAUGACCAGAUACAUGACUUGAUUGGAGGUUGGUUAGAAGGAAAUUGCUAUGAUCUGGGCAAUUGAAGUAAGUGAAAGCCUGAUAGAGUUGCAGCAGCAGUAGGAGGAGGGAAACCAAGUAAAUUUGAGAAGCAUUUUGGAAAUAGGAUCAAGAUGACUUGGCAACCAAUUGAAUAUGGGAAGUGAGGAACCAGUGAAGCUGAAGCUUGGCCAAGCUUUCUGACCUGGCAACUGAGUGAACACUCAGACAACACCACCUACAACUAUAUCGUCUUUACAGGCAGAUUGGAAGCUCUGAGAGAGUAAGGCCCUUGCUCUUGGUGUAUCCUCUACAUCUCUUGUAGCUCCUAACACUGACCGUGCAUUCAGAGGUUCCUAGUAAACAUUUGUUGAAAGAAUUGAUGAUGUUUCUUAUACUCACCAAAUAUGUCAAAAAGGAAAAUAUAAUACAAUGUCUUUUCUUCAGAGACAUUUUCAAAUUCUCAGCAUGUUUUUCCACCACAAAUGAAUUCACAACUAUCUCAUUCAACUUGUACAUCCACAAAAGUGACCCAUUGUUGCACAAACUGAAAUCUCCUUUAAGAUUGUGUGUGUGCUGGGGAGGACAGUCAAACGGUUGGUAUUUUUACUUUUUUUUUUUUUUUUUUUGGAGAGAGGGCUAUGAUAUUUUUGGUCCUCUGAAAAUGAAUCCAAAACAAUAAAACAAGCUGAAUGUUUUCCUCUAGUGGAAAGAAAGAAAGCAAACCUACUACAGGUAAAUUGAAAUCUUCAAACAGACCCAUAACACACUGCUGAGACAUUCUUGAGAUGAUGGCUUUAGUUAGACUGGGGCCACACAUCUUUACAUUUCUUCAUUCACCUGGCAGGACUAAUGAGAUUUUAUGGCGGGCAAGCUGUUUAUCCCUUGGGUGACAUUGGCAAGCACAUCUAUAUCUUUAUCAAUCAAGGGUUUUCUGCACUGCAACUCCCACCCCCAACCUAAAGAUUGCCCCAGCCUGGAUCACAACAUUUACAACACGUAAGAACCUCAUUCCUUUUC
This 3277-nucleotide long non-coding RNA is filed under the name Homo sapiens (human). RNAcentral describes it as "HSALNT0199332". The record is from RNAcentral. Lineage: Eukaryota; Metazoa; Chordata; Mammalia; Primates; Hominidae.